UACGUAGGGUGCGAGCGUUGUCCGGAAUUAUUGGGCGUAAAGAGCUCGUAGGCGGUUUGUCGCGUCUGCUGUGAAAACUGGAGGCUCAACCUCGCGCCUGCAGUGGGUACGGGCAGACUAGAGUGUGGUAGGGGAGAUUGGAAUUCCGUGGUGUAGCGGUGAAAUGCGCAGAUAUCAGGAGGAACACCGGUGGCGAAGGCGGGAUCUCUGGGCCGAUGCUGACGCUGGAGGAGCGAAAGCGUGGGGAGCGAACAGGA
This 257-nucleotide ribosomal RNA is filed under the name uncultured bacterium. RNAcentral describes it as "partial 16S ribosomal RNA". It matches the Rfam family "Bacterial small subunit ribosomal RNA", at positions 524 to 777 of the family's 1533-position model. The record is from RNAcentral.